GAAAUGCGAUAAGUAAUGUGAAUUGCAGAAUUCAGUGAAUCAUCGAAUCUUUGAACGCACAUUGCGCCCCUUGGUAUUCCAUGGGGCAUGCCUGUUCGAGCGUCAUUUGUACCCUCAAGCUCUGCUUGGUGUUGGGUGUUUGUCCCCGUCUCCGCGCGUGGACUCGCCCCAAAGUGAUUGGCAGCCGGCGUACUGGUCCCGGAGCGCAGCACAUGUCGCGCAAACGAGUGCCUUGGUACGGCGGCGUCCAUAAGCCCCUCUCUCACGCUCUUGACCUCGGAUCAGGUAGGGAUACCCGCUGAACUUAAGC
RNAcentral lists this unclassified non-coding RNA (310 nucleotides) under plant metagenome. Its description in RNAcentral is "partial contains 5.8S ribosomal RNA, internal transcribed spacer 2, and large subunit ribosomal RNA". The stretch from base 1 to 105 matches the Rfam family "5.8S ribosomal RNA", at positions 50 to 154 of the family's 154-position model. The record is from RNAcentral.